Long non-coding RNA from Triticum aestivum (bread wheat), 4671 nucleotides. RefSeq lists it as uncharacterized. The record is from RefSeq and is a predicted model, not a curated record. NCBI's taxonomy places the organism in Eukaryota, Viridiplantae, Streptophyta, Magnoliopsida, Poales, Poaceae. The transcript is spliced from 9 exons.
CGUGCGAACGAGCGAGCGAGCGAGCGAAGCCUCCAGGUCCCUUCGCCGUUGCCCUCGCACAUCAAGUCGCCGCCCUCGCCCUCGCCCUCGCAGCCGCCGCCGAUCCCCUCCCCCAUCUUCCUCCCUCAAAAGCUAACCCGUCUCGCGGUGCGCCACCGCCCGUCGCUGCCGCCCCCGCCACCUCCCGUCGCGGGUAGGCGGGAGGAGCCCUGCCCGGCCAUGGAGACACUGCCGGCGGCCUCCUCCUCCCCCUCACCUUCUCUCCCUUUCCCAAUGGAGGGAAGGGAAUGGAAGGGAUCCGGCGGCAAGGGGGGGCAGCGCCCAGAUCCGCGGCCGCACCGGCGGGCCGCCGUCCCUCGAGAUCGUGCAUGGAGGUCCGACCCGGCUGCAGCCAUGGACUGAGACGCCCGAAACCCUAGCUACCCGUGGAGGUCCGACGCCUACCUCCAAGGAAAGGACGCGCGCCAGCUGCAGGCCAUCUCCGGCGACCUCCGACCAUGGUUGCUCGGAUCUGGACCAGCUGCUGCUCCUACUGCUUCAGGUGGACGAGGACGAGCCCUCCCUCAUGGAUGUUGCGGCUGCCUACUCCCUCCUCCUACCCCCUGGCCUGGUGUGAACGGUCGUUGAAGCGAAAUUCAUGUUCAUAGAUCAGGGAAUGAAUUUGAUGUGUGACGCCUGACAAAAGCCCAAGAUUACAGAUUCUUUGUGUCGACGUGGAAUGUUGGUGGCCAAUGCCCAUCAAGGGGGUUAAUUUAGAUGACUGACUCCAUUCUUCACCCCCUGCUGAUAUCUAUGUGCUCGGAUAUCACUUAUUACGAGGACACUAAACAAGAACGCUGGGUCUAGCAUUCAUGCUGGCUAUCACAUGCCAUUCCCUGUCCCUGAUCCGGUUGUGGAACUAGAUGCUGAUUUUAAGGUAUCAUUGAGAAGACAUGAUAGCUCAUCACUUUCCACCACUAUCAUUCCGAAACCUUAGUCGGAGUUUAAGGGUUUCAGGAAAUGAUAUGUUCUCACAACCAAUAUUGGCCCGUAGGUUUAGUGUGUGCGACCCUGUUAACAUAGGAGUCAGGCCGAGCGAUUUUGAUAGAAAUUUCAAGUGUAUCGGAUCACCAGUCGAUGAGUAUAUUGAGGAGGAUACAAGUAAUGGAGCAUAUUUUUCACCAUUCCCAUAUGGCUAUGGUACUUAAACACCAAUGGAAGGAGAUGAAGAGCAGCCAAAUACUUCUAGGUGUCCAGGUAUUGUUUGGUUGCCAGCAAACAGAUGGUUGGCAGAUUUCUCACAGUUUGGGUAACAGGUAUGGCAUGGGAUUCAUUGUUCUGGUUAGAUGAGAUAUAUCAUCUGGUAAAUCAUUGGAUACAUUUCAACGUAUUGGAUUAUUUUGUUCUGAACUCUUUAGUCAGGUACCUUCCUUCUCUCAACACAACUUCAGCAACAUGUUUUAUAUAUUACAACUUCCAAGUUAAUAGUAGAGAUUUAAUCUCAAUACUUGCUUGCUUGGUGUAAGAAUGUAGAAGUAUGUUUUACUUUGGCUCCUAGCUGAAGACUACGGUUGGGUGUUCCAAUAACUUAUUUUUGGCAUGGUCUUCUUUGCUACCUCUGCAUGUGCGAUCCUCAUUAUUUGUUGCUUGAUUCUCUAUGCAAGAAUCUUGGCUCAUGGUCGAACAUAUAUGGUCACAUAUUUGCUCCAGGGAUUUAUUUUUGUCAGAGCCGAUCGACAAAUGAUCAGCCUGAAAGUAUAAUUUUCUAGCUUAAUACAUGUCAUGCAAGUAUGGUUUCCUUAAUGUGACUGGUAAUGUAAAUUUUGUGGGUCUCUCAGUUCCUAUGAGCCUAAUAUAGUUAAUUCGAAAUCAUGAUUCUGAUGGAAAUGCAAAAGAAACAGAACCUGAAUUAGUAGUUAAUUGGAUAGCAUGAUUCCGAUGGAAAUGCAAAAGAAACAGAACCAACAAUAGUAGUCUACCUUAAAGCUCGAAGAAUUCAUGAGAAAUUCUUGCUAGCAUCUAGAAUUGGAUGCCCUCAGGAAGACUAUUGUAAGUCAAUUUUCAUGACUGAUUUGCUCAUUUCCUCUAGCUGCACAAUAUGACAUAUUGCUUCUUAAUUCAACACUUACUGCUACUUAGUAAUAAGAGGACAUGUGGGACUUUGUUUCUCGAAUUGACACUCAAUAGUAGAAGAUGUUCAUACCUAGAAUAGUUGAUCACAAACUGCCGUAUCAUGGCUUUCUAGCUUAUAUGUUACAGAGCAAGUGAGCAGCCUCUACUCCCCCCCCCUCUAAUUAAUCUCUAUUUUGUAGCUUUGAAUAGCUAAAAAAAGUUGAUUCUGGUAUAUAUUCAUUGGCGCAAACAUUAGAAGUUCUAUGAUAUUUUUUCUUACCACAUAUAUAUGAAGGAUUGUGCAGACAACUUGCAGCGUUGGAAUCAACAUCUGGGAACAAUGCAUGGACAUUUAGAUAUAUAUUUUUAGCAUUCUUCAAGAUCUUGACUUAAUUUCUUUUUACACUGUUAAAUAAUAAAAGUAACAAAAUGUUGUACAAUAGUAGUAUCUGUUAUGUAGUCAAGUUUACUGAAAUCAAAAGAAAACCAAGAAAGGAGAGCCGAAGUUCAAGGCAUGUUCAGCUCCAUUGAUUUCCUCUCUCAAUGGAGUGUUAGUCCUCUGAAUAUUUUUAUUCCUCUGAUCUCAAACAUUGUCUACACAAGAGUCGAAGCUUUGUCUGCCACUGCUCUUCAGUUCACACCGCCGAUGUUGUGAGGACUGGCAGCUCUUCAGUUCAUGCUGCCAAUGUUGUGAGGACUGGCAGGACUUCAAUGGGCGCGGAGGCUGCAACCUAGGGCGAGGGCGUCGGUGCGUUGAGAUGGUGGGGCCACGUCAGUGGGAGGACGUGAGGCGGCGAUGUCCACCCAGAUCUAUAGCCGCAACAGAAGAACAACUCAGAGAGGACGUGCAGCUCCUGUGUGUAGUAGAUAAAUCGCCGCCCAGAUAAAUCACCGGGACACUACCAAGUGUGUCGUCAGUAGGAUAAAAAAUCUUGAGCGUGCCUCAGGUGCGACUCUAGCUAUUGAAAAUCAAAGAACCUGAAUACUUCCGGAGUUUGAUAAGGCUUUACGGUGAGUUCUCAUAGUGGUCUAUGUGCACGAUGGGAUGCUGGUACUGCUGUUCUACUUUUACUGCUGUUGUUAUUAAGCAGAUUUUGUCAAAGCAAUUGCUAUGUGUAUUAAUUUGGAUAGGAUCAGUUAAAGUACAUCUCAUUAAACGGCGUUUUUUGUCGUGUGUUUUAACUUUUUAUUAUUAGUAGCAGUGGUUUCUAUAGCUAGCCCAAUGAUGAUCCCCACUUUAACCGACAUGAUGUCAAAGCUCAAGGCUAUCAGUGACCAUCCAUAUAGCUCAUCAAGUCAUCUUCAGAUCACUAGCCCUAAUGGUGUCAAGCUCAAGGAUAUCUAGGAGCACUCGAACCUCCUGCAUGACGAAGUCACUCGAUGAGGAUGUGCUUACCCAGGAGAAUGAACCUAUUGAUGCUCCCCUUGCAGCCGGAAGUAUCUUGAAAGCUGCGAAAACCUCAUACAUGAGCAUAUCCGCGAUGCAAGGAGCUUUUGUGAUGACUCGGAGGAGGUAGCAGGGGGAGGAAAAGAAGGGAUAGGUUCCAUUACGAUCUUCUGUUGACACAAUGGUCGUCGGUGGCGACUGGCGAGAACAUGAGGACCAUGGCGAGUGGCUUUGUACCAGGACUGUUUCAUGCAUUUGAUUUUGAGGUUACAAUUAACAGACAUGUAUUGACCUAUUGCGGCUAUAGAGUAUGCCUAAGCCAAUGGCCAGACAUCGGCUGUUCGGAUCCACCCUUAAGCCGAGGCACAAGUCCAUUGCGGUUGAUUAUUGUUUGGGGAUUCAGUUUCAUGGUUGCAACCAGAUCAAUGACCGGUUAAUCUAACACCCGGUUUUAAAGAGAGAACAAAGUAGGAAGGGUGUGUGAUGGCGCUGGGGCCAUGUGUUGGAUAUAACAUGUUGGAUAGUCUGGACAACCAAAUUUCUCCCCUAUAUAUGUGCUGGAUUUGGGGGAGCUCUAACUGUUCAAACAGUUGGAAUUUUCAAGAGCCCACUGAGAGCCUAUUUGAUGUCCGAACAUGCCCGGGCGUACGAGGGAGAAAUGAGCGCCGACCUUGGGGACAAUCUUAAUCAUUUGUUUGAUUCAUGUAUAUGCAUUGUAGCCCGUAGCAACGCACGGGCAUUCUACUAGGUGAGUUGAGGCAGACAGCAAGGGCCGAGGUUGACAAAUAAAAUGCCAUUGUGAUGGUAAGCAAAAUAUCAGGUUCUAAUUAGUGGAGGACUACAAAAGUUAAAGAGGUCUUGAUGAGAUGAUUGACAUGACAUGAAUAGUUAAUUUGACAUGUAUCAUGGGCACUUCUUCAUUAUUCAGUUGUCUCGCUUGAAUUUGUGGACCAACUGGUGGACAUAGUUCAGUUUUCACAGGUAGCAAAAGCUGCAAAACUGGGUGUGCUAGAUUUUGUUCAAAGUGCAACUUUUAUUUGAUAAAGCCGAUCAGGUUUACAUGUGUAGAUCAAUGCAGUACCAACUGUAAAAGAGUUACAACGCAAGGGGAAGAGUCUCCUUUUUUGUAUUACACUGGGAUUGAACCUGCAUGUUGCUGGGGCAACCCUCUUUUAUUUUGGUCUUUAACUCUA